AUUCCUACGGGGGGCAGCAGUAGGGAAUCUUCCACAAUGGACGAAAGUCUGAUGGAGCAACGCCGCGUGAGUGAAGAAGGGUUUCGGCUCGUAAAGCUCUGUUAGUAGUGAAGAAAGAUAGAGGUAGUAACUGGCCUUUAUUUGACGGUAAUUACUUAGAAAGUCACGGCUAACUACGUGCCAGCAGCCGCGGUAAUACGUAGGUGGCAAGCGUUGUCCGGAUUUAUUGGGCGUAAAGCGAGUGCAGGCGGUUCAAUAAGUCUGAUGUGAAAGACCUUGGGCC
Molecule: ribosomal RNA, 283 nt
Filed under: uncultured bacterium
Lineage: Bacteria
Description: partial 16S ribosomal RNA
Rfam family: Bacterial small subunit ribosomal RNA
Source: RNAcentral